This 253-nucleotide ribosomal RNA is filed under the name uncultured bacterium. RNAcentral's name for it is "partial 16S ribosomal RNA". It matches the Rfam family "Bacterial small subunit ribosomal RNA", at positions 524 to 776 of the family's 1533-position model. The record is from RNAcentral.
UACGUAGGGCGCGAGCGUUGUCCGGAAUUAUUGGGCGUAAAGAGCUCGUAGGCGGCCUGUUGCGUCUGCUGUGAAAUCCCGGGGCUUAACCCCGGGCGUGCAGUGGAUACGGGCAGGCUGGAGGCAGGCAGGGGAGAAUGGAAUUCCCGGUGUAGCGGUGAAAUGCGCAGAUAUCAGGAGGAACACCGGUGGCGAAGGCGGAUCUCUGGGCCAUUACUGACGCUGAGGAGCGAAAGCGUGGGGAGCGAACAGG